AGAGUUUGAUCAUGGCUCAGAUUGAACGCUGGCGGCAGGCCUAACACAUGCAAGUCGAGCGGUAGCACAGAGAGCUUGCUCUCGGGUGACGAGCGGCGGACGGGUGAGUAAUGUCUGGGAAACUGCCUGAUGGAGGGGGAUAACUACUGGAAACGGUAGCUAAUACCGCAUAACGUCGCAAGACCAAAGUGGGGGACCUUCGGGCCUCAUGCCAUCAGAUGUGCCCAGAUGGGAUUAGCUAGUAGGUGGGGUAACGGCUCACCUAGGCGACGAUCCCUAGCUGGUCUGAGAGGAUGACCAGCCACACUGGAACUGAGACACGGUCCAGACUCCUACGGGAGGCAGCAGUGGGGAAUAUUGCACAAUGGGCGCAAGCCUGAUGCAGCCAUGCCGCGUGUGUGAAGAAGGCCUUCGGGUUGUAAAGCACUUUCAGCGGGGAGGAAGGCGAUAAGGUUAAUAACCUUGUCGAUUGACGUUACCCGCAGAAGAAGCACCGGCUAACUCCGUGCCAGCAGCCGCGGUAAUACGGAGGGUGCAAGCGUUAAUCGGAAUUACUGGGCGUAAAGCGCACGCAGGCGGUCUGUCAAGUCGGAUGUGAAAUCCCCGGGCUCAACCUGGGAACUGCAUUCGAAACUGGCAGGCUAGAGUCUUGUAGAGGGGGGUAGAAUUCCAGGUGUAGCGGUGAAAUGCGUAGAGAUCUGGAGGAAUACCGGUGGCGAAGGCGGCCCCCUGGACAAAGACUGACGCUCAGGUGCGAAAGCGUGGGGAGCAAACAGGAUUAGAUACCCUGGUAGUCCACGCCGUAAACGAUGUCGAUUUGGAGGUUGUGCCCUUGAGGCGUGGCUUCCGGAGCUAACGCGUUAAAUCGACCGCCUGGGGAGUACGGCCGCAAGGUUAAAACUCAAAUGAAUUGACGGGGGCCCGCACAAGCGGUGGAGCAUGUGGUUUAAUUCGAUGCAACGCGAAGAACCUUACCUGGUCUUGACAUCCACAGAACUUNNUUGGUGCCUUCGGGAACUGUGAGACAGGUGCUGCAUGGCUGUCGUCAGCUCGUGUUGUGAAAUGUUGGGUUAAGUCCCGCAACGAGCGCAACCCUUAUCCUUUGUUGCCAGCGGUUCGGCCGGGAACUCAAAGGAGACUGCCAGUGAUAAACUGGAGGAAGGUGGGGAUGACGUCAAGUCAUCAUGGCCCUUACGACCAGGGCUACACACGUGCUACAAUGGCAUAUACAAAGAGAAGCGACCUCGCGAGAGCAAGCGGACCUCAUAAAGUAUGUCGUAGUCCGGAUUGGAGUCUGCAACUCGACUCCAUGAAGUCGGAAUCGCUAGUAAUCGUAGAUCAGAAUGCUACGGUGAAUACGUUCCCGGGCCUUGUACACACCGCCCGUCACACCAUGGGAGUGGGUUGCAAAAGAAGUAGGUAGCUUAACCUUCGGGAGGGCGCUUACCACUUUGUGAUUCAUGACUGGGGUGAAGUCGUAACAAGGUAACCGUAGGGGAACCUGCGGUUGGAUCACCU
This 1518-nucleotide ribosomal RNA is filed under the name Klebsiella pneumoniae. RNAcentral describes it as "bacterial SSU rRNA". It matches the Rfam family "Bacterial small subunit ribosomal RNA". Lineage: Bacteria; Pseudomonadati; Pseudomonadota; Gammaproteobacteria; Enterobacterales; Enterobacteriaceae. The record is from RNAcentral.